ACGAACGCUGGCGGCGUGCUUCACACAUGCAAGUCGAACGGAAAGGCCCUGCUUUUGUGGGGUGCUCGAGUGGCGAACGGGUGAGUAACACGUGAGUAACCUGCCCUUGACUUUGGGAUAACUUCAGGAAACUGGGGCUAAUACCGGAUAGGAGCUCCUGCUGCAUGGUGGGGGUUGGAAAGUUUCGGCGGUUGGGGAUGGACUCGCGGCUUAUCAGCUUGUUGGUGGGGUAGUGGCUUACCAAGGCUUUGACGGGUAGCCGGCCUGAGAGGGUGACCGGCCACAUUGGGACUGAGAUACGGCCCAGACUCCUACGGGAGGCAGCAGUGGGGAAUAUUGCACAAUGGGCGGAAGCCUGAUGCAGCAACGCCGCGUGCGGGAUGACGGCCUUCGGGUUGUAAACCGCUUUCGCCUGUGACGAAGCGUGAGUGACGGUAAUGGGUAAAGAAGCACCGGCUAACUAUGUG
RNAcentral lists this ribosomal RNA (467 nucleotides) under uncultured bacterium. RNAcentral describes it as "partial 16S ribosomal RNA". It matches the Rfam family "Bacterial small subunit ribosomal RNA", at positions 29 to 507 of the family's 1533-position model. The record is from RNAcentral.